RNAcentral lists this ribosomal RNA (682 nucleotides) under Shewanella baltica. RNAcentral's name for it is "bacterial SSU rRNA". It matches the Rfam family "Bacterial small subunit ribosomal RNA", at positions 144 to 820 of the family's 1533-position model. Lineage: Bacteria; Pseudomonadati; Pseudomonadota; Gammaproteobacteria; Alteromonadales; Shewanellaceae. The record is from RNAcentral.
UAACAGUUGGAAACGACUGCUAAUACCGCAUACGCCCUACGGGGGAAAGGAGGGGACCUUCGGGCCUUCCGCGAUUGGAUGAACCUAGGUGGCAUUAGCUAGUUGGUGAGGUAAUGGCUCACCAAGGCGACGAUCCCUAGCUGUUCUGAGAGGAUGACCAGCCAUACUGGGACUGAGACACGGCCCAGACUCAUACGGGAGGCAGCAGUGGGGAAUAUUGCACAAUGGGGGAAACCCUGAUGCAGCCAUGCCGCGUGUGUGAAGAAGGCCUUCGGGUUGUAAAGCACUUUCAGUAGGGAGGAAAGGUAGCAGCUUAAUACGCUGUUGCUGUGACGUUACCUACAGAAGAAGGACCGGCUAACUCCGUGCCAGCAGCCGCGAUAAUACGGAGGGUCCGAGCGUUAAUCGGAAUUACUGGGCGUAAAGCGUGCGCAGGCGGUUUGUUAAGCGAGAUGUGAAAGCCCCGGGCUCAACCUGGGAAUUGCAUUUCGAACUGGCGAACUAGAGUCUUGUAGAGGGGGGUAGAAUUCCAGGUGUAGCGGUGAAAUGCGUAGAGAUCUGGAGGAAUACCGGUGGCGAAGGCCGCCCCUCUGUACAAAGACUGACGCUCAGGCACGAAAGCGUGGGGAGCAAACAGGAUUAGAUACCCUGGUAGUCCACGCCGUAAACGAUGUCUACUCGG